GGAGGGAAGGGGUCAGUGACACAGACAGCACAGUGAGCAGCAACAGGAGGGAGACGAGAGGGAGAACGUGCGCGACAGAGAGAGAACGCGCUGGAAAGGCUGACUCCCCUCUGGACUCUCCUGAUUGGUCCCUUUAAACGAUGACAUCACAUCACCGCUUGCAGGGUCCCACUCCAGCAGGACGCUCCUCUUCCUCAGGCUGUGGCUCAGCUGCUGCCUCUCCUGAGAGCUCAUCGUCCACCGCUGCAGCGCCAGGCGGGUCAGCGCAGGGAGGCGAGGCACGGCACAGAGCAGCGUUGGCAGCCAGGCCGAGCACGGAGCAGAGGUCAGAGGUCGCAGGCUGAGGUCCAUUUCCUCCAGGGAGCCCAGGCCUCCUGCUGCGAACAGGGCGGACCAGCCUUCAUCACCUGCUGAGCCAUUAUAGGACAGAUCCAACACCCGCAGAGAGGACAGACAGCCGCGUCUGCACGCUGCAGCUGUUCAGGACGAAGAUGGAGACAGGUCAGUGUGACUGAUCCAAAACAGAGAGAGAGACAUAAUACAAAGGAAUAUUCCUUUUCCCCCUGAAGGUUUGAAGAGAACCAUCUGAAGAGAAAUGAGUACACACUCACCGAGGUGACAGAGGUCCUCUGAGGUGAGCUCACAGCUGCUGAGGCGAAGCUCCAGGAUGACUGACGGCUGCAGAGCGUCCAGGAGGAGCGCCAAACGACCGCCGACGACUUUACUCCAGGAAACAUCCACACUGUGCAGAGAUCCCGGUCCGGUCUGAGGACCAGGACAGGAAGCGUCCUAGAGGCUUUCUGUCGGCGGCCGAGCGUUUCCUCCGGAUCUGACUCAUGAGGACGUCGAGGGGGGAGCGCCUUAGGCUGCCGCCAUCCCGCCCCCGCUGACCAUCUGACCAAUGAGAGUGACAACAAAAUAAAUCCCUGUGGAUGUUUGAGGAUGUUCUGAAUGAUCAGUUAUCAUAUAAAGAUCAGGAGUCUAAUAAAUGAUGUCUGAAAUAUUCAUUAGAAAUGAUUAGGUUCUUAAUCAUGUCCAA
Long non-coding RNA from Notolabrus celidotus (New Zealand spotty), 1039 nucleotides. RefSeq lists it as uncharacterized. The transcript is spliced from 3 exons. The record is from RefSeq and is a predicted model, not a curated record. Lineage: Eukaryota; Metazoa; Chordata; Actinopteri; Labriformes; Labridae.